RNAcentral lists this ribosomal RNA (440 nucleotides) under uncultured bacterium. Its description in RNAcentral is "partial 16S ribosomal RNA". It matches the Rfam family "Bacterial small subunit ribosomal RNA", at positions 338 to 795 of the family's 1533-position model. The record is from RNAcentral.
CCUACGGGUGGCAGCAGUGGGGGAUAUUGCACAAUGGGGGAAACCCUGAUGCAGCGACGCCGCGUGUGGGAAGACGGUCCUCUGGAUUGUAAACCACUGUCCCCAGGGACGAAGAUGACGGUAGCGGGGGAGGAAGCUCCGGCUAACUACGUGCCAGCAGCCGCGGUAAUACGUAGGGAGCGAGCGUUGUCCGGAAUUACUGGGUGUAAGGGGAGCGUAGGCGGGACUGCAAGUUGGGUGUCAAAUCUACCGGCUCAACCGGUAGCCGCACUCAAAACUGCAGUUCUUGAGUGAAGUAGAGGCAGGCGGAAUUCCUAGUGUAGCGGUGAAAUGCGUAGAUAUUAGGAGGAACACCAGUGGCGAAGGCGGCCUGCUGGGCUUUUACUGACGCUGAGGCUCGAAAGUGUGGGGAGCAAACAGGAUUAGAUACCCUGGUAGUC